GACUAACGCUGGCGGCGUGCUUAACACAUGCAAGUCUAACGAGAAAGCGGUAGCAAUAUCGUGAGUAAAGUGGCGAACGGGUGAGUAACACGUAACCAAUCUGCCUUGAAGAGGAGGAAAACUGAGGGAAACUUUAGCUAAUCCUCCAUAAUGUGGUGCCUAUCGCAUGAGAACAUCAUUAAAGAUUUACUCGCUUCGGGAAGAGGUUGCGUCUGAUUAGCUAGUUGGCGGGGUAAAGGCCCACCAAGGCGACGAUCAGUAGCUGGUCUGAGAGGACGAUCAGCCACACUGGGACUGAGAUACGGCCCAGACUCCUACGGGAGGCAGCAGUGAGGAAUAUUGCGCAAUGGGCGAAAGCCUGACGCAGCAACGCCGCGUGUAGGAUGAAGUCUUUCGGGACGUAAACUACUGUUAGAGGGAAGAAACUCCGGUUACGCCGGGGGUGGACGGUACCCUCCAGAGAAAGCCACGGCUAACUCUGUGCCAGCAGCCG
RNAcentral lists this ribosomal RNA (493 nucleotides) under uncultured bacterium. RNAcentral's name for it is "bacterial SSU rRNA". It matches the Rfam family "Bacterial small subunit ribosomal RNA", at positions 28 to 517 of the family's 1533-position model. The record is from RNAcentral.